Molecule: ribosomal RNA, 492 nt
Filed under: uncultured bacterium
Lineage: Bacteria
Description: partial 16S ribosomal RNA
Rfam family: Bacterial small subunit ribosomal RNA
Source: RNAcentral
AGUGAACGCUGGCGGUAGGCCUAACACAUGCAAGUCGAACGGCAGCACGGUAACUGGUUGCUCUUACCGGUUGCCGGUGGCGUGCGGAAUAGAUAGACAUCGGUCUCUACGUUUUGGUGGGGGAUACGGAAGGGGAACUUACACUGAUACCGAAUAAGGGCUACGGGCGGGAGACGGGCAGCUUCGGCGCUUGCGCGUUUGACGGAGCCGAUGUCGGAUUAGCUAGUUGGCGGGGUAAAGGCCCACCAAGGCGACGAUCCGUAGCUGGUCUGAGAGGACGAUCAGCCACACUGGAACUGAGACACGGUCCAGACUCCUACGGGAGGCAGCAGUGGGGAAUAUUGGACAAUGGGCGAAAGCCUGAUCCAGCCACGCCGCGUGUGUGAAGAAGGCCUUCGGGUUGUAAAGCCCUUUUGUUCGGAAAGAGAAGCAGCAGGUUAAUACCCCGCUGUUCUGACGGUACCCAAAGAAUAAGCACCGGCUAACUUCGUG